This 468-nucleotide ribosomal RNA is filed under the name uncultured bacterium. RNAcentral's name for it is "partial 16S ribosomal RNA". It matches the Rfam family "Bacterial small subunit ribosomal RNA", at positions 28 to 507 of the family's 1533-position model. The record is from RNAcentral.
GACGAACGCUGGCGGCGUGCUUAACACAUGCAAGUCGAACGGAAAGGCCCUGCUUUUGUGGGGUGCUCGAGUGGCGAACGGGUGAGUAACACGUGAGUAACCUGCCCUUGACUUUGGGAUAACUUCAGGAAACUGGGGCUAAUACCGGAUAGGAGCUCCUGCUGCAUGGUGGGGGUUGGAAAGUUUCGGCGGUUGGGGAUGGACUCGCGGCUUAUCAGCUUGUUGGUGGGGGAGGGGCUUACCAAGGCUUUGACGGGUAGCCGGCCUGAGAGGGUGACCGGCGUCAAUGGGCCUGCGGGACGGCCCAGACUCGUACGGUAGGCAGUGGUGGGGAAUCUUGCCCAACGGGCGGACGCCUGAUGCAGCAGCCCUGCGUGCGGGAUGCCGGCCUGUGGGUUGUGAACCGCUUUCGCCUGUGACGAAGCGUGAGUGACGGUAAUGGGUAAAGAAGCACCGGCUAACUACGUG